Molecule: long non-coding RNA, 376 nt
Filed under: Ananas comosus (pineapple)
Lineage: Eukaryota; Viridiplantae; Streptophyta; Magnoliopsida; Poales; Bromeliaceae
Description: long non-coding RNA (ACOM_LNC033456)
Source: RNAcentral
UAUAUAAUGCAAUUUUUUCGCAGUCCAUAAAGGAGCCAAAAGCAUAAGGACUGAGAUUUUGGCAGUAUAGUUAAACUCUCUAUUGAUGAUUUUUGUGUGUAAUUUAAUUACAAAUGCACUCGUCAAGUUUCGGGAGAAAAUGAGUUAGAACGGAGAUUUUAUGCGAUCUUCAGUUUUCACUUAAAGUGAAUAGUAACUCGAUUUUCCAGAGAGGCCAAUGUGUAGAGUUGGCUUCCGGCGCGAAUCGGACUCCGUUCAUAGCGAUCCAAUAGCUCGUUUCGAAUGAUUCAGCUAUCCUGGAACCAAUGGCGCUGACGGAUUUUGAGUUUGACGCAUGAAUUUUGAGAAAUCUGAAAAAUACAUGUAUUGUAUGUAU